GAUGAACGCUGGCGGCGUGCCUAAUACAUGCAAGUCGAACGCGCAGCGAAAGGUGCUUGCACCUUUCAAGCGAGUGGCGAACGGGUGAGUAACACGUGGAUAACCUGCCUCAAGGCUGGGGAUAACAUUUGGAAACAGAUGCUAAUACCGAAUAAAACUUAGUAUCGCAUGAUACAAAGUUAAAAGGCGCUACGGCGUCACCUAGAGAUGGAUCCGCGGUGCAUUAGUUAGUUGGUGGGGUAAAGGCAUACCAAGACGAUGAUGCAUAGCCGAGUUGAGAGACGGAUCGGCCACAUUGGGACUGAGACACGGCCCAAACUCCUACGGGAGGCUGCAGUAGGGAAUCUUCCACGAUGGGCGCAAGCCUGAUGGAGCAACGCCGCGUGUGUGAUGAAGGCUUUCGGGUCGUAAAGCACUGUUGUAUGGGAAGAAAUGCUAAAAUAGGGAAUGAUUUUAGUUUGACGGUACCAUACCAGAAAGGGACGGCUAAAUACGUGCCAGCCGCCGCCGUAA
Molecule: ribosomal RNA, 513 nt
Filed under: uncultured bacterium
Lineage: Bacteria
Description: partial 16S ribosomal RNA
Rfam family: Bacterial small subunit ribosomal RNA
Source: RNAcentral